CAGGGGCGCUGCUGAGGAUUUUGGGCCCCAUGAAAAGAAUCUUGACAGGGCCCCCAACACAGCUGAGAGUUUUUUCAUAUUAAUUUACAUAAAAUCAUGCUCUUUUAUGGUAUUUUGACUAUCAUUCUCAUAUAUUUAAGUCAAUCAGACAAUUGAACUCCAUCCCAUGUCCAUCCACACCUGUAAUUUGUCCUCUGUAAUACUGCACUACUUCAGUACUGUAUAAUGUAUAUACUGUGCAUAGCUGUACAUGUGUAAUAUAUGGUAUUCACAUAUAUUUAUAUUUGUAUGAAUAUUUGUACUGUACACUGGCAAUGACAAUAAAGUUAAUCUAAUCUAA
Long non-coding RNA from Carassius gibelio (silver crucian carp), 340 nucleotides. RefSeq lists it as uncharacterized. The record is from RefSeq and is a predicted model, not a curated record. The transcript has 2 exons. NCBI's taxonomy places the organism in Eukaryota, Metazoa, Chordata, Actinopteri, Cypriniformes, Cyprinidae.